This 16743-nucleotide long non-coding RNA is filed under the name Hordeum vulgare. RNAcentral's name for it is "long non-coding RNA (HVUL_LNC014301)". Lineage: Eukaryota; Viridiplantae; Streptophyta; Magnoliopsida; Poales; Poaceae. The record is from RNAcentral.
CGGAGCACAACAUACAACUUGUAUAUCCACAACAGAAGGUGAUGUGAAUGUAUUACUGGAAACAACAAGAAAUCAAUGGAUAGGCACCCCGCUGCAGAGAGGCACUGAUGAUAAGAUCGAAUAUCUAGUAACCAGAUUAAAUGUUGAAUGACAGCAACUUCUAUCUUCCCACUUUUAUACAACUCAACAGAUAAGUAUUGACCAUUGAGAGAACAUGAACAGGGACUGGUAACAUCUUGUUAGGACAUUCCAGGCAUAUCUUGGCAGUUCCGGAUGUUCUAUCUAGCUGCAAUCACAUUUCUUUCAUGGAUGGUGAACCAUCCGCUGCAAAAAUCUUUGGAGAAGGCUCAUACUUUUCAUUAGCUGUUUCAUGGCUGUGCCAAAUAUCCCAAAGUAAGUUACACCACUUCCAAUGCCUCCUGUUGCUGCUAUAGACAUAGUUGGGGAAUGGAAGCUGUGGUUUGAUCCAGCCAUCUGUGAAGAAGUCAAUGCUGGAGCUCUUGCCACAGUAUUCUUGACAUUCUGCUCCUGACUCGCCAUUGAGACAACCCUCUUCAUAGUCCUAUCUACGCCAGGGCUUGGGGUUGACAUUGCUUGCUCCAGUGCUUUAAGCUAAAUCAAAAUAAUUAAAAGAUAUAAUUGUUCCUUACAAGCAAGGAGAAACAUCUUCUACAUUCAUAGAGUAGUAGAUUUCAUGGGCAAAACCAAAAUGAUAACAUGAAUAAAGUCCAUUUUGCUCACCUUCUUCUGAAGUCGGGCCAAUACUGCAGUAAGAAAAGAUAUCUCAUCUUCUGGACUGCGAUUUCCUGAGCUUCCUUCAGCAGCAGAUGUGUAAACAUCAUUAUCAGCCAACAAAUCUUCCUUGGCAUUUUUCAGAUUCUGUAUACGUGACUUGCAUACUGAAAUAGACUUUUCACAAUAUGGGAUUGCAUCCCUAACCUUGGAUGCUAACUCGAAGGCCACACAUAUGCGGGCAUUUCUGGAACUGAAUUAAGGUAAUCAACAAAGGAAGAAUUGAGCUCAAAUACCAAGUACCUAUUACAUACGGAAAGCACAAUAUGAAGGGAAAAUAGAGCCACCACAUUAGUCCGCAAAAAUUAAUUAUUUUAACCAUUAAGUUUAGACAUUAACGGACGAGAUCUAAAGAUAUAAUGUUACGUACUAUAACAUUGUUAUGGACAAACAGGUCAAAUGCGCCACGUACAAACAUUUAAUUUGGAAUGAUCCUGUUUGGAUGUGUUGGCUGGCAACGGUGGUGCAAUCCGAUUUCAUAUAGGCAUCCAAAAUUUCAAAUGGUGACAUCAUGCUUAUGUCAUCAAUCAACUAUAUAGUGGGCAAAACAUAGUCACAUACUCAUGUCUCAUACAAACUACUUCACAUAUACCAACGUGCACAACAGAGAUCAAAUAGAAAAACAAGAAGAUCUUGCCUAACCGUGCGUGAUGUAAAGGACAUUAAAUGGAAGCAUAUAAAACUACCAUGCUACCAUGCUACCAUGAGGAAGGCAAGAAAAGAAAAUUAGAAGCUAGCCAGAAUCUCGGUUUGCUGCACGAUGAUUCCUUCCGCAUGAAGCUAGCCGCACAAGCCAAAGUGCAUUUGUGCAAGUCGGAAAAAAAAUCACAUGGAAAGGUAGAUAACAAGUAUUUUCUUGAUAUACUAGUCACUUAUGCAUAUGUAUGCACAUAUGUACUCAUACGUUGUCUACAUGUUCUGCAAUGCUUGAAAAUUAGUGAUGCCACUUCUAAUGCACCAUUACAAAGCUCCAAAUAUGAGAAAAUCAAUGUCAAAUAUGCCACAUCCGUUUACAUUCUAAUAAUAUCUACAACCCUGAUUGUGCUACAUCGAGGUUAUAGAGAUGUGUAGAUGAAUCCGACAGCUUAAUCCAUUAUCGAUACAACAUCAAUACGCGAAUAAAGAGGAGAAAUUUGAGACUGCUCCAUUAGAUGGAUAAAAAAACAUGGCUAUAUUUUCAUACUUGGAACUCAAAGAAAAAAAUAAAAAAUUAUCAAUUCUGUUUUCAGAAGAAUGGCGUGCAUGAAAUCCAAAAUAUUUAAUAACAUUUUAUGAAAUUUUUACUCAAAUCUUAGAAUAAAAAUUAGCAAGGAAUUUCCAUACAAAUUUAGUAUGCAGUUCACUAGAGAUGUAUUUAUACAAUAUGAUUAAUACAAUUUAUAUUCUCUUUUCACCUAAUGAUGGAAGUCAGGAUAACACUAAAACUGAGUAGGUAACUUCAUUUCAUUCUAUGAAUAAGGUAUGUAGCGAGUGAGAAUAGGCCAAUUAGGUUGAAAAAGAAUGAGGUUAUAUUUUUAUAUGCGGAACUCAAAACAAGAAAUGAAGUAAAAUUAGUAAUUAUGUUUUAUAUUACACAUGAAAUUAAAAUAUAUGAAUAACAUUUUAUCAAAUUGACAGUAAAAAUUUCUUUGUUAAAAAGUUUAGACUAAUAAAUAGAACAACUUAGCAUUGAUGUUCAUACAAAUUUAGUAUGUCGUUCGCGAGAAAUGUAUUUAUACAAUAAGAGUGAUAUAAUUUACAUCACCUUUGAACUAUGGGGUAUGCUCUAAUAUGUAUGGAUUCAACAAUAGCAAAAAUGGGAGGGUCACAUUAAUAUAACUAGAGCACACAUGAAUUAUUAUUUAUUAACAUAAUUCAGAUGCAAAAAUGUGGCACACAGAAAUAGUAGGAGAAUAUAGGUAUGCAUUGCGACUGUAGCAUGUACGUCACGAGAAAUUACUAGGCAGAGGGGAGCCGUAAUGAAGACGAGUAAUAUCGUUUGGUAAGGAAAGUUCGAUUGACACCAGUUACGAUGUGCACGCAAGUGAGCAUGGCAUAUAUGGAAGCAAAUCAGUGUUGUACUAGGGUAAAUAAAGAAAGAAACAAUCUAUGCCAUUUCCACCAAAAAAAUAUGCCAAGCAUAAUAAGCUAUUUUCCUUAGCAUUGGCAUGGUUAGAAAGAACACUGUCAUCAUCGUGUACAGGAGAUAAUGUUAGUAAUUUCCAGUAAAUAUAGACCGAUAACUACAUUGCCUUAGAUGAACAAGUCCACCUAUACAGCAAGCAAAAUAUUACCAUAAAUGGAAGACUAUGAAAAUACUCCAUCCGUUCCUAAAUAUAAGUCUUUCUAGAGGUUCAACUAAUGGACUACAUACAGAUGUAUAUAGACAUACUUUAGAGUAUAGAUUCAUUUAUUUUGUUGCGUAUGUAGACAUCUAGUGAAAUAUCUUAAAAAACUUAUAUUUAGGUACAGAGGGAGUAUAAGACUACACCAACCAAAAGAAAUAACAAAAUCAUGUUUAUUGAUGAAACAAGUGAAGGUGAACGGAUUAUGCAUGAAUAAUCAAGGUUUAGUAUGAUGAAAGAUAGAUCCCAAGGGGUGAGAUACGAUAGGGAGAAACAUGGAGGUUAGCACAAAAUUCUAUGAUUUUGUAUGUCAUAGACAAUGGUACUUAGUUAUUAAUUCAAAUCAUAUUGUAUAUAUAUGUUCAACUCCAUCUUUAAUAUGAUUUCAAAAUAUAUAUGGAAUUAACGUACCAAUGCCUAAGCUGAAUAAUACUUAGCGCGGUCGUAAAUGUCUGCAAAGAAAAUAAUAUAAAAUAAUUGUUCACAAUAAAUUUGGUGCUACAAAAUCAACUAUAUAUUUAUAUUUACACUUGUAACGAUAAAUACCAUAUAAGAGUUAAUAUGAAAAAUGUGAAAAUAUACAUGACAUCACAUGUCUAGCCGUAGAAAUGUGCAGGCCACACUGCUAGUUACGAUAAAUAAGCAUUAUCCACCUGACGUUUGAUCACAGUUUGUCCCAAAAUUUAACCUGACAUGUGGAUUUAAGCACGUGAAGGAACCCGUGCAAGGUUUGGGUCAACUCAAAUUAUUUGAAAUCAUGCACGGAUAAUAAAAUGGAAGAUAGCUUUAGCCACCUAAACCUUCAGCUAAACUGACUAAAUGUAUGCCUAAAACCCCAGAGAUAUACCACAAGAGGAUGAAACGGCACUUGGGUUGUGAAUAUCCUGCUUUGUACUACUACUACAAAGCAGAGUGAUUGACACUAUAAUCAGUUUAUUACCACGAAGAGGAUACAUGUCAACAAUCCGAAUAUUGUCAGGCCUAACCAAAUGCUCCAAGAUGGCGAAAGCUUUGAAGUAGUAACCAAUUGUGUUGUCCCAGUCCCCUGCAAAAGUAAAAAAAUCAAAUGUGAGGCCAUGGAUGACCAUUCACCAGGCUAACACACUAGCUAGUAAUGAACAUAACUGAGGUUACCUCUUUUCUUGCAGACUUCAGCUAGAGCAAGAAAUAUAUUAAAUUUCUCCAUUGUCAUGCCAGGGUUCUUGGUAACUAUAGCUCUUGCAACAUUCAACAUUUUCCAGGCCAUAUCCAAAUCAGAAUCGUCACCACCGCCUGCUGCGUUCCCAUCCUCCUGAUCUUUGCCGUUCAAGUUUUUCCCUAACCAAUGACCAUAUCAGAAUUUACCAUAAAAAGAAGAAAACAUUUUUAUUUAGAAAAUGGAAGAUUUCUACUAUUCCGGGUCUCUGAAUGAGAGGAUGCACAGACCAAGAAGAAGAAAAACUGUAAUGAGAUAUGUGCAAAUGUGUGACUAUCCAACUUAAGCAGUAUACUAUGAUCAUAUACGUGCAAAUAAUAACAUGGUUGGGAGUCGACUGAACUCAGUGAAUCAUAUAUCCAUAUCUACUUAAUCUGGCUUUUGUUGGCUUUUCGCCCUCAGGAUCGAACACACGAUCACCCUGCAGCUCGACUAGUCGUGUACGUGCAACUCGGCUCAACGUAUACGAACUAGUUGUAGCACUCGAUAUCUCACCGGCGCUUACGCAAACACCGGGACCAGAACACACGCACGCGAACGCAGCAACACAAAGAUGGCCAGAGGCACGUGUCGUGCCUCGUAAUAAUCUCUUUAUUGCUUUUCUUGUUUUUCUGGUGUACAACUCGAUAGCCUGCCACUGCUUAUAUAGACGUAGCCAGGCAGCCACACCCGAAACGUCAAUAUCCUAAAUCGGCUAGUACAUGGACAUCAUUGUCCAACUCCAACUCGGUCAACACAUCACCGUAUCAAACUUUCCUAGUUUGACUACUCCAAAUACAGCACGACUUAGUACUUCCAUCUUAACUCACACGAAGCACGCUUUCCCAAACUAAUUACACGGCAACGUUGAUCACACUACUAAUCCUAACCGGACUCAACGAAGCUAGCUCACGUUUGGAUUAUUCUACAUUCACCCCCUAAUCCAAACUUUUGACUUGUUGACUUGAAACCAACAUAUCACCUGGAUUACCAGCCCACGCCGUCACAUCUUAGCGUGCUACAUGCAGACUAAACACAUAGCCUCUCAUGCAGGAACUCAACUUAACUGGUGCGCAUCCAUCUUCACGUUGGCCUUCGUCUUCCCGCCGAGACACACUAAUUAACGACUCAGACACCAACAAAAAACUAAAGACACGACUCUUUUUUUUUCCGCCGCAGCUUCUUCAUGAAAGCAACCCUGGGCCGUCAUCCACGUCAACUUUAGCUAGUUGCAGAAUCUCGUGCUCCUUCUUUGCCUCCUUCCGCGGAUUAGGACACUCUCGAGAAUAGUGUCCAUAGUCCUGACAAUUGUAGCAACGAACUUUAGAUUUGUCGAACUUCCGGUACUUCUGCUUAUUACGCAAGAACAUCAACUGCUCCUCUUCUUGGUCGCGUUCACGUCCCUUCAACGUCAACUCAUAGGUCUUUAGCCGCCCGAUCACCUCCAUCACCGACAUCUUCGUCACAUCGCCCCACUGCUCGAUGGUGCCAACGAUCGGUAAAAACUUGUCGGGAACGGCUCGUAGUAAUUUCUCCACAACCGCGAUGUCUUCCAUCUUUGAUCCGAGAGCUCGCAUCUCAUUAACUAGGGAGGUUAGUUUUAACGCAAAUUCACCAACCCCUUCUGACGCCUUCAUGCUCAUCCUCUCGAACUCCCUCCUUAGAGCUUGAACACGUGCCUUCUUGACACAAUCAUCUCCAGCAUGCAUCUCCUUGAGCGCUUGCCAAGCUUCCUUUGCCGUCUCUUUCUCCGAUAUGGACAUAAAAACAGCAUCAGACACACCUUGGGCUAUGAUGGCGAAAGCCUCUUGGUCCUUUGUCUCUUCGACCGCGCCUUCACCUUCCACCGCUGCCCAAACACCACGCGCACGCAUGAAGAUCUUCAUCUUCGCAGCCCACACCCCAUAAUUGUCACCAUCAAGCAUGGGAUACUGGAUGGUCACACCACCACCACUCGCCUUCGAAGUCGACAUGAUCCUCUUCUUCGAUUUUCCGUCGUCCGUGACACAACUUGACAGCGACGACAACUCCACCAUGACGCAACUUGACGGCGAAGCCUCCACACCUUGCUCUAGAUACCAAUUGUUGGCUUUUCGCCCUCAGGAUCGAACACACGAUUACCCUGCAGCUCGACUAGUCGUGUACGUGCAACUCGGCUCAACGUAUACGAACUAGUUGUAGCACUCGAUAUCUCACCGGCGCUUACGCAAACACCGGGACCAGAACACACGCACGCGAACGCAGCAACACAAAGAUGGCCAGAGGCACGUGUCGUGCCUCGUAAUAAUCUCUUUAUUGUUUUUCUUGUUUUUCUGGUGUACAACUCGAUAGCCUGCCACUGCUUAUAUAGACGUAGCCAGGCAGCCACACCCGAAACGUCAAUAUCCUAAAUCGGCUAGUACAUGGACAUCAUUGUCCAACUCCAACUCGGUUAACACAUCACCGUAUCAAACUUUCCUAGUUUGACUACUCCAAAUACAGCAUGACUUAGUACUUCCAUCUUAACUCACACGAAGCACACUUUCCCAAACUAAUUACACGGCAACGUUGAUCACACUACUAAUCCUAACCGGACUCAACGAAGCUAGCUCACGUUUGUAUUAUUCUACAGCUUUGUCAUUUCAACCGCACAAGGAAAAAAGGAGGCAAAUAGCUGGCUGCACAAGACACACAUCCAACAAAAAUAUAGUCAAUCCAUAAAAGCUUUUCUGUGAGCAGUUUCUGCAACAUCAUCUGGUGCAAGAAUUAAACUAUAAGAACAAUUAGCAACACAACAUUUAUUAGAUGGUCACAUGUGAAAUUAUGAUGAGGAUUUUAGAGUCUUUCACAAGGGCAAAAACAAUACAAGUCCAAGACGAGACUAUUACUUUGCAUUAGCAUGAGCAAAUUACUGAUUGGUUGUUUAUUGGAUAUACUCUUCAGUAAUUAGUACGUAUGAACAGACCAUGAGAAAUUAUGGUUAUCAAUAGAGUGUUAUCAGCUACACCAAUAAAAAGGGCAAUAAUGACUUUUCAGUCCAUAUAACUGUCUUGUGCAGUACCAGUGUCACGCUACAUCUGUGGGCUCAACUAAUCUAGCUGCUUUCUCUAAGAAACCAUUCCAUACAAAACCUAGAGAAGAUGUAAAGUUGAAUAUAUAGCAUACCUUCUUCAGAAUCAACAUUCUCUGCAGGUGCUUGCUCAACAUUGCUACCAAAGACCUCUGAGACCUCAGUAUCGUCUUUGCUGGCUGUAGCCGUACUUCUGAUUGAUUCUUCAUUUGAUGAACUCUUUGAACCAUUUCUGGAAUGAUUGGUUGCCUUUCUAGCUUUGUGAAGAAAGGCGCGUCCACAUCUGUAAAAUGUGCUAGCACGCUCCGGAGGUAGUGGAACCCUAUGUUACAAACAAGAAAUAAAUAUGUGAAUGCAUCAUUGCAAAGGUUAAUUAUAACAUAAACAUAUGGCCAUGAGUGUUGCCGAGGUAGAAUAACAUGACCGUAAUUAUUCCAUAAACCAUUUUCUUGACACAACAUGCUAACUAUAUAUGUUCUACUGAUUGCUUUUUAUAGUUUCAUAACACUGACAAUUGCCUGCACAGAAUAUUAAAUAAAAUUCUGAAGUACCGUAUGAAUAAACUACAUGGUAAUGAAACAUUUGCAACUAGCCAGAACUGGAGAGGAAUAGAACCCUUCUCAAAUGGGAUAACAUCUAUCCUCAAGUACUUGGAGUUUGAUUUGAUGCUCAUCGCAGUACAUACAUCAUAACAAAAGAUGCCAGGUCCCAAGUUCCAAAUAUAGUCAUCAGAUCACAUUGACUAAUUGAACGCAUUAAUCCCUAAGACAUUAACGCACGUGUCAUGCUCACUUAUCAAACACAUGAGGCCGAAACACCCGCUACUUAACCAACAUUGUCACACAACAUCAUAAGUCCUACUAAAGUAACUACAAAUGUCAAAGCCUCAAAUCAACUAAUGACACAUGAAAAGAACACUGAAGUGUCUGGAAUAAGUGGAGUUUGUGAUUAGAACCCUAACCUGAACUCGAGGGUGUGGCUGGAAAAGUCAGUGGUGUUGCCAAAGCCCCCCUCUUCGAUGUCCUUGCACCACUUAUCAAACAGCUUUCGCGCCCACUGUAGGUUUUUAUCCUCCUCCUCACCACCCACCUCUUCAGUAAUGUUCAGUGGUGGCAGCAGGUCGUGAUGUUGUUCAGCUCUGAGUGCUUCCUGCCUAGAACGUGGAGUGUAGAAGCCGACAACUGGAACCAAAUUACAGAAACCAUGAUCAUCGCAUACCUUCCUCGCCCGCUCCGAGUGUAGCUCAAUGGUGAAGAGGCCAGUAACCGUGUUAACAAAAAUGACAUUUGCUUCCUCGGCAAAACCCAGCACAAGCAGACUAUAAUCUGCACGAGCGAGAGCACGCAUUGGAAGCAAAAUUUUCAGGUCAAUGACCCGGCUUAGCACCCAUCGUGCAUCAUCAGUUCCGUUAGUUGCUACCUCCCUUGACCAUAAUUUGAGAUGUGAAUCCAACGACUGGCUAACUCCCAGUCCACCGUCCUCCAUCAGAAUGAGGUUAAAUAUCUCGGAGUAUGGUACAUCAGAGUCCGGUGGUUCGAACACAUCCAGGUCGUGCCUUGCAAAAUCGUACUCCAGGAUCGAACCACCGGUGCCCAUGAAAUACACCAGAGACCUCGCCACGAGCACCCUCGAAUAAUAUGUAUAGUCUAUCAAAAACUCGACACGCAUCGAGGUCAGCUCGCCCCACGCGCCGGUCUCCGACGAGUAUACACACGCCGACGUGACAUACUCCUCCUCGUCUGUGUCGAGGUCCUCGACGGAGAAGACAAAGACCAGGCAGAAAGGACCCCCGAGGCAGUCACGGUGGCCGCACCCGUCCGCCGCGCACAACACGGCCGCGCUCGGCUGGAAUAUGGUCCUCUCGUACGCCUCGGGCACCGGUACGCGCUGCCGGAAGCCCGUGAUUGGCUCCCACAGGAGGAGUUCCUGCGCACCAUCGUCCUCGGGGUCGGAGAUGAAGAGGGCGCGGCCGUGGCGGCAGUCGAUGGCCCGCCACAAGUGACGACGGGGAGCGGCGAGGGACAAGGAUGAGGCGGUGGUGGGGAUGAAGCGGGGGAUGAGCUCGUCGUCCCAGUUGUGGAGAAAGCCGAGGACAGGGGGUGCGCCGUGGAGCUCGUGGAGGCGGCGGCGGAAGACGCGGUGGGAGACUAUUCCCCUCCAGGUCUUGCAGACGAGCGACGCGCGGAGGAGCCAGGCCGGCUCGUCGGGCGGGAGGAGGAGGAGGAUCUCUUCGACGAGAUCGUCCGGGAUCGCCUGCGGCGGCGGCGCCGCCAUGGUGGCCGCUAGGUCUGGGCGCCGCCGGCGAGGUGCGGCGGCGAAGCUGCGCUGGGGUCGGUGCGGAUGUGGAUGUGGAUCUGGGGGGCGGUGGAAGAGAGUAUAAACUUUGCACGUUUUCCCUUGUAAAACAAAAACUGAAACUGAAACUGAAAAAGUUUGCACGUUUUCAACUUGCGCAAGUUUUCCUUGUAGACGACCUUUUGAGCAUUUUCUUCCUUUUUUUUUGAAUUUUGGAAGAAUUCUAACAUGAUCUUGGUGCGUCCUCCGUGAUCCUUCCAUGUUAUUUGCGAGAUUUUAUGUGAAACGUCUAUUGAUCCAAAUCAAUUCUGUGAGUUACUAUUUAGUUUUUUUUUCUGGCCAGAUUCGCCCAAUCAUACAAUGCAUAGACUUUCCUAUAAAGAUUAGUGCAUGCCAUAGUGUCAUGAUGUUCUAGUCAAUGAAAUGUUUCUAUAUGGUUUUCAAUCAUACAAACAAAAACUUUCGAAAUUCAUAUAAAAUACCUUUGAACCAAAGAGACCAUACUUUUAUUUUGGUUGUUAUUUUUGGAGUGCUACUUGUAUAGUGGUCUCUACACUGAACACACCCUCUUAUGCGCACUCGCUCUUUUUGUGUUACCAUGUAAGACAACCUCAUGUUGUGGUUGAGCUUGAAAUAAACAGUUGGGAUGGCGGGGCGAGGCGGUAGGAAAUUUUUGAAUGGUAGGAGAAUUACUAUUGGGUUGGGCGGGCCAUGGCCACCUUUUGCCCUAACGUAGCUUCGGCUUUGAUUUCAUGUGUGGUUGUCGUCUGCCUUUUAGGUGCCUCGGUUGCCUACACCCAGCCCAUUCAGAGCGGGAUUGUCUAUGGCGUCCGGUCCGGAUGCUCCCCCACACUAUCUCACAGCCCGUCUCAUGAGUCACGUCACGCUCUCUCGUGAGCCGAGGUUGCAGCCUUGACACCCAUGGGAGGUGAUCACUCUGCAUUGUUUGGCAUAUGUAGGUCCAUAUAUAGCAUCUUUCGCCAUGUUGAAGAGCACCACAACGCGUGAUUCCCGUAUUGCCGCUAUUGUUGUCUGGGAUGGGAUUGAUAGGGCUGGGUUGGAUAUUUUGUUGUGGUCUCUUUGUUGCACCUUAUUAGUUGGCGUUGUUUCGCUCCCAGAUCCAGGACAUGGUGGAUGAGGUGAUCCAAUCUUUGCUUGAGGAGGGUUCGCCCAUUAGAAUUUUUGUCAGGAAUGUGUUGUCGGCUUGGACCCUAAUCUGGUUACCUCAAUGGACGUGGUCCUGGGUGGCUUCUUCUAUCCUUGCUCCCCGUGCAUGGCGCCACCUCACUUUCUUUAAUGAUGGAAUCGUUUUAUGAUCUGUUGUGCGGCUUAUGGGGAUUUUUGUGCAUCUUGUGAGGAAAAGUUAGGCCUACAUGUCAUAGUGUGCUCCGAGAAGGAUGAAAAAUAUCACUUUAGCAUCGGAAGACCAAACUGAAGGUCAAAUCGAGAAAGCAGGUGCUUCAACGACGAAAGUAUUGUAUGCCAUGACCAUCACAGACUUGGAUCUGGUGGGUGUUGGUGCCCGUGACAACAAUGUUCAUGAAUUUAUUUUUCUUUGGUUGAGUCCGUCGAGGCCAGUGGAAUCUGUAGUUGAUGAUGUAGAGGUAGAUGAUAUGUUGGCACAUGUUCCCUGGAGCCGCUUGGUUGACAGCAACUACAAUGAGCUUUGUAAUUUGUUUACCAAAUGGGAUGCGGAUCGCUCAGGAUUCAGCAAGAACGAUGGUUGUCCCUUGAAGGAGAAAUAAAAAAUAAACAAAAUUAGGAAGUGUGGUAUGGGAUUGAUAGGGUUGGGUUGGAUCUUUUCUUGUGGCCUGCUUUUCACACCUUAUUAGUUGGCGUUGUUUCACUCCCAGAUCCAGGACAUGGUGGCUGUGGUGAUCCAAUCUUUGCUUGAGGAGGCUUUGCCUAUUAGAAUUUGGUCAGAAUGUGUUGUCAGCUUGGACCCUAAUCUGGCUAGGUGGCUUCUUCUAUCCUUGCUCCCCGUGCAUCGUGCCACAUCACUUUAUUUGAUGAUGGAAUCAUUUUACGAUCGGUUGUGAGGCUUAUGGGGAUUGUUGUGCAUCUUAAGAGGAUAAGGGAGGCCUACAUGUCAUAGUGUGCUCUGAGAAGGAUGCAAAACAUCACUUUAGCAUCGGAAGACUGAAGGUUAGAUCGAGCAAGCAGGUGCUUGAAGAUGAAAGUGUUGGAUGCCAUGACCAUCACAGAAUUGGAUCUGGUGGGUGUUAGUGCCCGUGACAAUAAUGUCCAUGAAUUUAUUUUUCUUUGCUUGAGUCCAUCGAGGCUAGUGAAAUAUGUAGUUGAUGAUGUAGAGGUGGAUGAUAUGUUGGCACAUGUUCCCUGGAGCCGCUUAGUUGACAGCAACUACAACGAGCUUUGUGCUUUGUUUACCAAAUGGGAUGCGAAUCACUCGGGAUCCAGCAAGAAAGAUGGUUGUCCCUUGAAGGAGAAAGAAAAAAAGGAACAAAAGUAAGAAGUGUGGCGCCUAAGGAAUGACGAGUAUGCAAUUUUAUGAUGGACAAUUUCAAUUUUUUGUGUUGUCAGCGUGUUUUAUGUCGUUUGAGUUGUGAGUGUUGGUAUACUUUUCUCUAGUUGCCCAUCAUUGGGGGUAUGUGUGUAAUAUUCUGGCACAUGUGUUGAGGUUCGAGGGGCGUUGUCAUGCAUGGGUUGGGAGUAGUCCUUAUGCUAUGUCGGGUGCGCUUGUUUUCUUCAUGACAUGCUUGGACAUCCCAAUCACCAUAAAAAAAAUCAGGUACUUGGGGAGGUUCAGAUCUUAGACAUUGUCUUUGGAGUGGUCUAGAUCUUGGGGACCAUAGGCCAGCCAUGGUUAAAUGGACAAUAGUUUGUAGAUGAGGUGUCGUGUGCUAGGCGGCUCAAGAGGCAACGGAUUGGACGUGGUCGGCGCACGGCGGCGCGAUCUACCAUGUUGUACAGUGGCGGCAGCAUGCAUCUUCAGGGCCUUAUAUCUGGGUCGACAUGCCACGACCACUGCGCGCUUCGGUCGGGUCCACAAUUGUCGACCGGUUAGUGCGCUGCACCAGCGCGAUGCGGCGCACCUGCGCUCAGGAGGCGACAGCGCUCGCCCUGUUUGGGUCUGGUCUGGGUCCAACUGGCGGUGGCUGCCACUCGUGUUGCGUUGGAUGAACAGCGCAUUCGGCGCGUUAGUAUUCGCCUUUGCAAUCGGCCGGUGGCAUGGGGGCUUGGCCAUGUUGGUCUUCGAGCGCCAAGUCUUUGAUCUGCUUCAUGUUGGACUUCUUGAUUUGUAUGUCGAGGAGUUGAGGUCUUCCUCUCGAAGAUUUCCACUGUUUAAUGCAUGGUGUCACUAGAUAUCUAAUUGGAAUUGAUCUAGUCGUGUGCUCCCUUAUCUUCGUCCAGGGAGGCUUCAUGAGGGUGUGAUGCCAAGCUUUGCUAUCUUUCCCCGUGCCAUGGGACAUAUCUAGGCAUAGAUUUCCAUGCAUUGACAGUGGUGAAGAAAGUCAUGACAAUUGUGAUCGGAAGCUUGUAAUGCCAGAGGAGUUUUGUUUACAAUGAAGACUUGAGAACAUGUUUUCUUGUGUGUCCGGGGUUAAGUAAUUGCAGCAACGGCCUUGGUGGGAGGGGCAGGAACACAGGUGGAUAGUAUAUCUGAUGGUGCUCUCGGGUACUGAGCCGUGAUUUCUAGGGUGAAAGCCCAAGGUCUGGCCUUCAUUGGUUGUACGUGAUAAUGGUCUUGCUGAAGACAUUGUUUUGGAAUAUCAAUCUUUCUUCAGGGCGAAAAAACAAGAUCCUUGAUCGGAGAACCACAAUGAUUGUACAUUGUUUUCUUUUUGGAGGCGUCGCCUUUGAGGAACCACUUUUGCGGACCGGGUGUUGUCUUUGGUGGUGAUUAGAUUGUUGUUGUUGCGAGUAUUUCAUCACUGCAACAUGAUCUUUGUUUUCAUAUUUCUCUUUUUUACUUUGUUCCUGGUUGUGCACAUCUUGGAUGUAACUGGUAUCCUCACAAUAUUAAUAUACUCCCCUUUAAAAAAAAAACUUACUUACCCUGAACUCGAUCGAACUCCUCAAACUCAUGCACUUCCAUCUUAAUUAACAUAUGCUCUUCAAUCAACAUCAUCAUCACCUGUUGUUGUUUCGCCCAUCUCCAGCUAAUGAAAAAUGUUGUGCUCGCCGAAGCCACAACGAGACAGUCACAGGGAUCGUGGGGUGUUGAAGCCGGAAGCGUCAUGAGAGCAUCUUCAAUAAAAGAUGAACUUUUGGAAAUGUAACAAUAGUGUUUUAUAAUUUACAUCAUGAAAAGACGCUUUUUACAUCUCCAAAAAUGUCCCAACUUGAACAGAUGAUGUAUAUUUGGUGAUGUUAAACUAGUGGUCCAAUGGACGAUGCAUAUUUGAAGAUGUAAAACGGUUGACGGCCGCGCGACAGCCUACAACCACUACGCACCCGCACUCCAAGGCCUACGGCGACGGCCGAGGAGGAGGCGACCAUGUCCCGAGGUAGUUGUUGCGGCCGCCAGCUGCAUCGAAUCGGCCGAAGAAGCAGCCUCCUUUGUCUUCUUCGUCGCCCGAGAUGGAGUUGUGCCGGGGUUGCACGCCGCCACCAAGCGGCUUGGCUGCCAUCUUCUUCUUCGCCGGCAGCGCACCGGUUCCCAUGGCGGCAACCUGCGGGGUGGUGCGAAACCGGCAUGUCUUGAUGGGGACAACAUGCAUGGAGGCGGUGGCAACGGGAAAGGUCGUAGUCGGCAACAACCGCGACGAGGUGGUCAGACCGGCGGAGGUGGCGGUGGCGGGGUCGGAAUCGUCCAUGGGGCUGGGCAGCGGCCGAGGCAUGGCGCGUCGGAGGCGUGUGGGCUGCUAAAAAUUUCAGAUGUGGCUGGCUUUUGGCACGCGGCUGGAUAUUUUACAUCACCAGGCGGUUGAUGAUGCAAAUUUGGAUUUCCAUUUGUUGUAUUUUACAUUAUUUGGAGGAGGUGAUGUAGAAAAUUAUAUAUCUAUAUCAACCGUGUGAAUGCCGUUUUUUGGCCUCAGAGAUAUAAAAAAAGUUAAUAUUUGUGCAUCUGCAUUAUCUAUUGAAAAUGUUCUAAGUAAGUUUAGGACGAUCGAUAUUGAUGACCCUCAAAAGGUUGAACCAACAAACUGACGUUCCACCUUGGAGAACCUAAUACGCAGUUUUUUAGCGUUAACGGUACGUGCCCGUACAUUUGGGAUUAUCGAUUUUCUUUGAGAUUCGUGCAUUUAGAAGUCCCACCACAAAUGUAUAAAUAUGUGAAUAUUUCAUUAAGUCAAAUCUAGAGUCAGUUUGACGGGGCAUGUAAUACUACUUUUUGGCGGUGUAGUAUGCUACUCAGACAUCUCUCCUUUUUCUUCCGUCCAAACAAAUUUAGACUUUAUUUUAUCUUAAACAAUUUAAAUCACACAUACUUAAAAAAUAUGUUCAUUUAGAAAACAUUACCAAACAGGUUUUUUCGCUUCUCAAAUUCUAUCGGCUCCAUCAUGCUUCUCAUCUUGUACCAGCUCAGCCAUAGCCAAAAACUAACUGGAGCUUAAAACUACACCAAAACACGUUUUACAUUCCAAACAUGUUUAAUUUUGGAUGUUCUAUAUUUCAUAUGUGAAACAAAUCUACUUCACUACGAAAAUGUGAAAACAAACCUAUUUUCACUAGAAAUAUAUGAAACCAACCUAUUUCCUUGAAAACCUAUUUAACCCAAAUACGAAACUGAAAUAUCAAGUUGUGAACUAAUUCUUUCAAAAUGUGUUACGGAGAGUGAAAUAUUAUAUUUCAAACACAUGCAAUUGUGAUAGAUGUGAUUUUUGUGAUACAAACCAGUGAAAAAUGAUACGCAGGUUCUGAAAGUAGAAAAGAAUAGGAAAUUAAAAUGUCAGCUUGUGAAACUGAUUAUUUAAAAAUGUGUAAUAUAUUAUUUCAAAAAUGUGGAUCCAAUACAUUUAUUUCUCGUUCACUCUACAGAGUUUUUCAAUGCAUUUUACCCGUAAAAAAAUAGUUUUGCUAUGCAUUUUCGCUCACUUUGCCAAGGUUAGAUACAUGAGCUUGUUUGCAACAUUAUUAUAUUGUCUCAUCUGUAAGCGAUCAUUUCUAGAGAUCUGAGGCUGUUUGCAACAUUGUACUAGUGUGAUCAUUCAUGUUAGGAUCCGAUCAAAGACAAUGUCCCAUGUACUGGAAUUUUGUUUUAAGAAAAUCUAAUUGUUAUUUUCAAGAAAUGCUAGUUGUCUCUAAAAAUUAGCAUGAGUAGAAAAUCCUAAUCUUAAGAAACAGGGGGGGGGGGGGGUUGAUCUUUCAACAUUUAUGCCAAGCGAUUCAAUCUCGGAACAAAUGCGAGAAAACUAACAAAUUUCUGCAGCAUUUACUCAUGCACAAGCAAUUCAAUGUUGGGUGUUUUGGUUAUUUUCUGGUGCACAUCAUCUUAGCACUUGCUGCACAUUAUUAGCAGCAGACUAAAAUAUUAGUACAGCUGAUACGUACACAAGGCCGCCUCCUCCAACAGAUCAAUACACCACAGUAAAGUUCAAACAACAAAGGUUUUGCGGAGGACAACAUACAACUUCUAUAUCCACAACAGAAGGUGAUGGGAAUGUAUCACUGGAAACAGCAAGAACUCAAUGGAUGGGCAUCCCGCUGCAGUGAGCCACUGAUAAUAAGAUCCAAUAUCUAGUAAUCUGAUCAAAUGCUUAAUGACAGCAACUUCUAUCUUCCCACUUUUAUAAAACUCAACAGAUAAGUAUUGACCAUUGAGAGAACAUGAACAGGGACUGGUAACAUCUUGUUAGGACAUUCCAGGCACAUCUUCUAUCUAGCUGCAAUCACAUUUCCUUCACGGAUGGUGAAUUAUCCUCUCCAGAAAUCUUUGGACAAGGCUCAUACUUUUCAUUAGCUGUUUCAUGCCUGUGCCAAAAAAACCAAAGUUACACCAAUUCCAAUACCUCCAGUCACUGCUGCUAUAGACAUAGUUGGGGAACAAAAGCUGUGGUUUGAUCUAGCCAUCUGUGAAGAAGUCAAAGAUAGAGAUCUUGCCACAGCAUUCUUGACAUUCUGCUCCUGGCUCACCAUUGAGACAACCCUAUACGCCAGAGCUUGGGGUUGACAUUAUGUUGCUUUCUCCAGUGCUUUAAGCUAAA